AAGAAAAUGUUUUCCUUAAAUAAUACUUGUAAGAUAUUUACUGGAAGAAAAAAGACAAAUUUAGGUGUUCAUUCAUUUGUUCAGUAAUUCAGCUUUAGCCUAGCACCCAUUUCCCAGGGUAGGUUUGGGAUAUUAAUAGGAUUUAAUUAGAAUUAGUUUUUCACUUUUUUCGAACACUAUUUUUAAGAAAUCACUUGGUCCUUUAUGAAUUCUCUAGAUAUUUUUCUGCCUCAUUUACUAAAAUAAAUAAAAUAGUUAAAUAGUUAUUCGGGUUUUUCCAAUCAAGAUGCUGCUUCUUACGUAUCCUUUCUUUUUAUUUUCUUUUCUCUAAUAUCUUUUGGAGGACUGUGAUAUGAAAGAAAGAUCAUCGGACUACAAGGUAAAGGAUAAAUCUGAGACACAGAUUUGCUCUUUUCUAACUGGGUGACCUUUUGAGCAAGUUAUUUCACUUCUCUGGCCUAAGUAAAAAUGGGAUAUUGGAUAAGAUGUUUCCAGAAAUCCCUUACUUCUAAGGUUCUAUGAUCUCCACUGGAGAUGGGCUAAAUUUUCCUACUACUCCCCUGGUCAAAAACCUAAAAUGAUUCUCUGCAGUCUACUAUAUCAAACAAUAAACUGCUAUACCAGCUCACCACAAUUAGUCCUCACCCAGGCCUCUGUCCAUGACUUACUUUUAAUGUGCUUCCUCUAUCUCAGGUAUGUGGCACGCGCCAUCCUCUAGCCAGAUGUGACACUUUCUCAUGCCACUGCUCUCCUAGGUCAUGCAGGUAUGCCUCUCACUCACUCCAACCAAACCUCGCCCUCCUGGCCUGCAGAGGUACAUCUCCUUGAGACCUCCUCAGACCACCUUGGCCCACCUUGACUUUCUCAGAUUCUAAGUGGCUCAGUGAAAUUAAGGAGAAGAUGGAUUUAUUUAAAAAUAGAGUUAAGAGGAGAUGAUAACAAGAGAAGAAAUGAAAAGGAAGCUGGCAGAACCAAGAAAAGAUGUUAAGGAGAAAAAUAAAACCAUUGCGCAACUGAAGACCGCAUUUCUGGAGGCUAGAAGUCCAAAUUCAACUUUAUUGGGCUGAAAUCAAAGAGUCAGGAGGAUACCUGUGAUGGCAUUUAGGCCCACCUGGGUGAGCCAGGACACUCUCUCCAUCUCAAGAUCCUUACUUGAAUCACAUCUGCAAAGCCCUCUUUCUGCCAGGCAAGAAGCAGGAUUGCAGGCCACCUUUUGCAGGCCCAGCCCAGGUUUGGAACAAGGCUUCCUCUGCAAAAGCUGGAUGCUGUGAGCUCUGUCAGCUGCAAUGCUCUACCCCACACCUGCCUGGGUUUCCGGAGUGCAUACUCUAUUUGGGAGCAAUGCCUGCCUUGAACUCCAACAGUAUUUUGUCAGCAUCUUUCCCCAAAGACUAAACUCUACAGCCUAUAUCAAGUAUCAGCCACUGGAGAAAGCCGAGAAAUGGAGAAAUUGAGAAACUUGGCAACACAUCCAGUAAAGAGCUGAAGCUUUUAUAACAGCACAAUACAGGAACAAAAAGGAUAGCUUUGGGGAAUGCCAGCCUUUCCAAGGUAAGUUAUCAAAUGUCAGUGUGAACAAUCAUCAACACUGGAAAAAGAAAUUGUUUAAUUCUCAUAAGCUAACAAAAUGAAUAUGACAUACCAUUUCCCAUGCUACCUAGGUGAAGCAUGCAAGUUGAAUAGUCAUAGCAAUGCUAGUAUUAUUUUUUAUUUUAUACAUAUAUAUUUUUUAAUUAUUAUACUUUAAGUUUUAGGGUACAUGUGCACAUUGUGCAGGUUAGUUACAUAUGUAUACAUGUGCCAUGCUGGUGCACUGCACCCACUAACUCGUCAUCUAGCAUUAGGUAUAUCUCCCAAUGCUAUCCUUCUCCCCUCCCCCCACCCCACAACAGUCCCCAGAGUGUGAUAUUCCCUUUCCUGUGUCCAUGUGAUCUCAUUGUUCAAUUCCCACCUAUGAGUGAGAAUAUGUGGUGUUUGGUUUUUUGUUCUUGCGAUAGUUUACUGAGAAUGAUGAUUUCCAAUUUCAUCCAUGUCCCUACAAAGGACAUGAACUCAUCAUUUUUUAUGGCUGCAUAGUAUUCCAUGGUGUAUAUAUGCCACAUUUUCUUAAUCCAGUCUAUCAUUGUUGGACAUUUGGGUUGGUUCCAAGUCUUUGCUAUCGUGAAUAAUGCUGCAAUAAACAUACGUGUGCAUGUGUCUUUAUAGCAGCAUGAUUUAUAGUCCUUUGGGUAUAUACCCAGUAAUGGGAUGGCUGGGUCAAAUGGUAUUUCCAGUUCUAGAUCCCUGAGGAAUCGCCACACUGACUUCCACAAUGGUUGAACUAGUUUACAGUCCCACCAACAGUGUAAAAGUGUUCCUAUUUCUCCACAUCCUCUCCAGCACCUGUUGUUUCCUGACUUUUUAAUGAUUGCCAUUCUAACUGGUGUGAGAUGGUAUCUCAUUGUGGUAUUACAUAGACAACUGUGAAGAUAAUUAUUUUGAUGAGUAAAUUACUACAAUAAAUUGUCAUACGGGAAAUAUCCAGAUCAAGAAUAGAAAUUGGGUCCCCACACAAACCCUCCCUUUCCCUCCUCCCAUCACAACCCUCUCUCUUCCCCAGAGGAAUCGCUGGCCUGACUUUGUGGCAAUCACUUUCUUGCUUUUCCUUAUAGCUUUAUCACCCAAGUGUGUGCUCCCAAAUACUAUAGUAAAUGGUGUCUUUUUCUGCUGUGUCUUUUAGGUCUAUUUUAAUCUAUAGGUCAUCCAACUAUCCAUUUUUUCCACUUUUUUCCUCAUAAAAAUGAUUUUUUAAGAAACCCUAAAUACUAUAGUAAAUGGUGUCUUUUUCUGCUGUGUCUUUUAGGUCUAUUUUAAUCUAUAGGUCAUCCAACUAUCCAUUUUUCCCCUUUUUUUCCUCAUAUAAAUGAUUUUUUAAGAAACCAGGCCAUGUAUGCUGUAAUCUGGCAGUUUCCCAUAGCCUGGAUUCAGCUGAUUGCAUCAAUGCGAAUAUUAUAACUAUGUAGCAUGACUCAAGCCAUAAGGAGGGUAUCAGGUAGAUUUAAAUGGAAAUAUCUAGUCUGCCACAUAUACAAGUAUAUUAAAACUCAGUUCCUCUAACAAGGGCCCCGGGGACUUAUUUAUUGAUUUACAAAAGUUUUGAACAGUUGCUUUGAGGUAAUCUCUUAAUCUCUUUCUUCCUCCCUCUUCCUUCUUCUUGCUUUUUUUUUUUUCUUUUUAAGGGACAGCAUCGUUCUAUGUUGCCCAGGCUGGUCUUGAACUC
This 3259-nucleotide long non-coding RNA is filed under the name Homo sapiens (human). Its description in RNAcentral is "HSALNT0348614". The record is from RNAcentral. Lineage: Eukaryota; Metazoa; Chordata; Mammalia; Primates; Hominidae.